GGCUCAUUAUAACAGCUAUAAUUUACUUGAUCUUGACACAAUCCUACUUGGAUAACUGUGGUAAUUCUAGAGCUAAUACAUGCAUUAAAGCUCUGACCUCACGGGAAGAGUGCAUUUAUUAGAACAAAACCAAGCGGCUUCGGCUGUUUCUGGUUGACUCAUAGUAACUGAGCUGAUCGCAUGGUCUUGCACCGGCGACGUGUCUUUCAAGUAUCUGCCGUAUCAACUUUCGAUGGUAGUGUAUCUGACUACCAUGGUGAUCACGCGUAACGGAGAAUAAGGGUUCGGCUCCGGAGAGUUCGCCUGAGAAAUCGCGAACACAUCUAAGGAAGGCAGCAGGCGCGAAAAUUACCCACUCUCAGCACGAGGAGGUAGUGACGAAAAAUAACGAGACCGUUCUCUUAUGAGGCCGGUCAUCGGAAUGGGUACAAUUUAAACCCUUUAACGAGUAUCUAUGAGAGGGCAAGUCUGGUGCCAGCAGCCGCGGUAAUUCCAGCUCUCAAAGUGCAUAGAAUUAUUGCUGCGGUUAAAAAGCUCGUAGUUGGAUCUGUGCCAGAGGACGUGGUCCACCUUCGGGUGCGUACUACGCUCCUAGGCUUUUUGCUGGUUUUCCCGUCGUAGCCUUCACUGGUUGCGGCGGGUGGCUGGCGAGUUUACUUUGAGAAAAUCAGAGUGCUCAAUACAGGCGUAUCGCUUGAAUGAUUGUGCAUGGAAUAAUAGAAAAGGAUUUCGGUCCUCUUUUAUUGGUUUUGUGGACUGAGAUAAUGGUUAACAGGACAAACGGGGGCAUUCGUAUCUCUGCGUGAGAGGUGAAAUUCUUGGACCGUAGAGAGACGCCCUACUGCGAAAGCAUUUGCCAAG
RNAcentral lists this ribosomal RNA (861 nucleotides) under Acrobeloides sp. 3 GVDU-2019. RNAcentral describes it as "SSU rRNA". It matches the Rfam family "Eukaryotic small subunit ribosomal RNA", at positions 95 to 962 of the family's 1831-position model. Lineage: Eukaryota; Metazoa; Nematoda; Chromadorea; Rhabditida; Cephalobidae. The record is from RNAcentral.